RNAcentral lists this ribosomal RNA (515 nucleotides) under Papilio arcturus arcturus. Its description in RNAcentral is "partial 16S ribosomal RNA". Lineage: Eukaryota; Metazoa; Arthropoda; Insecta; Lepidoptera; Papilionidae. The record is from RNAcentral.
AAACAUGUCUUUUUGAAAAUAAUUUAAAGUCUAAUCUGCCCCCUGAUNAAAUUAUUAAAGGGCUGCAGUAUUUUGACUGUACAAAGGUAGCAUAAUCAUUAGUCUCUUAAUUGGUGACUUGUAUGAAAGAUUGGAUGAAAUAUAUACUGUCUCUAUUUAAUUUAUAAAAUUUAAUUUUUUAGUAAAAAAGCUAAAAUGAGUUUAAAAGACGAGAAGACCCUAUAGAGUUUAAUAAUUUAUUUAAUUAUUAUUAAUAUAUAAAUUUUAAAAUUAAAAUUAAAUAAAUUAUUUUGUUGGGGUGAUAGAAAAAUUAAAUUAACUUUUUUUUUAUUUCAUACAUUAAUUUAUGAAUAAAUGAUCCAUUAAUAAUGAUUAAAAGAAAAAAUUACCUUAGGGAUAACAGCGUAAUUUUUUUUUUUAGUUCAAAUAGGAAAAAAAGUUUGCGACCUCGAUGUUGGAUUAAGAUAAAAUUUAAAUGCAAAAGUUUAAAAUUUUGAUCUGUUCAAUCAUUAAAA